Molecule: long non-coding RNA, 498 nt
Organism: Epinephelus moara (kelp grouper)
Lineage: Eukaryota; Metazoa; Chordata; Actinopteri; Perciformes; Serranidae
Exons: 3
Source: RefSeq, a predicted model, not a curated record
ACUGACAGAUAACACCCACCUGACACUGACAGGUAACACCCACCUGAUACUGACAGGUAACACCUGACACUGACAGAUAACACCCACUGAUAUUGACAGGUAACGCUCACCUGAUACUGACAGAUAACACCCACCUGAUACUGACAGGUAACGCUCACAUGAUACUGACAGGUAACGCUCACCUGAUACUGACAGAUAACACUCACCUGAUACUGACAGGUAACGCUCACCUGAUACUGACAGGUAACGCUCACCUGAUACUGACAGGUAACACUCACCUGAUACUGACAGGUAACACUCACCUGAUACUGACAGAUAACACCCACCUGACACUGACAGAUAACACCCACCUGAUACUGAGAGGUAACACUCAUCUGAUACUGACAGGUAACACCCACCUGACACCGACAGAUAACACCCACCUGACACUGACAGAUAACACCCACCUGAUACUGACAGGUAACACUCAUCUGAUACUGACAGGUAACACCCACCUGA